CACGCUGUAAACGAUGGAUACUAGGUGUGGGCACUAACGUGUCCGUGCCGGCGCAAACGCAAUAAGUAUCCCACCUGGGGAGUACGACCGCAAGGUUGAAACUCAAAGAAAUUGACGGGGGCCCGCACAAGCAGUGGAGUAUGUGGUUUAAUUCGACGCAACGCGAAGAACCUUACCAAGGCUUGACAUACAACUGAAUACGUAAGAGAUUACGUAGUCCUUCGGGACAGUUGAACAGGUGA
Molecule: ribosomal RNA, 242 nt
Filed under: uncultured Bacillota bacterium
Lineage: Bacteria; Bacillati; Bacillota
Description: uncultured Firmicutes bacterium partial 16S ribosomal RNA
Rfam family: Bacterial small subunit ribosomal RNA
Source: RNAcentral